GGGAGCCGAAAGGGGACCGACCUUCGGGAGCUGUCACAGGUGCUGCAUGGCUGUCGUCAGCUCGUGUCGUGAGAUGUCCGGUUAAGUCCGGUAACGAGCGCAACCCUCGGGGUUAGUUAUACGUGUCUAACCCGACUGCCCGUUGAACGCGGGAGGAAGGUGGGGAUGACGUCAAGUCAGCAUGGCCUUUAUAUCCAGGGCUACACACACGCUACAAUGGCCGGCACAAUGGGUCGCCAACCCGCGAGGGGGAGCCAAUCCAGCAAAGUCGGUCUCAGUUCGGAUUGCAGGCUGCAACCCGCCUGCAUGAAGUCGGAGUUGCUAGUAAACGCGCAUCAGCUACGGCGCGUUGAAUACGUUCCCGGGCCUUGUACACACCGCCCGUCACGUCAUGGGAGCUGGUCAUGCCUGAAGCCGGUGGGCUAACCGCAAGGAGGCGGCCGUCAAAGGCAGGGCUGGUGACUGGGACGAAGUCGUAACAAGGUAGCUGUACCGGAAGG
This 500-nucleotide ribosomal RNA is filed under the name uncultured bacterium. Its description in RNAcentral is "bacterial SSU rRNA". It matches the Rfam family "Bacterial small subunit ribosomal RNA", at positions 996 to 1512 of the family's 1533-position model. The record is from RNAcentral.